This 522-nucleotide ribosomal RNA is filed under the name uncultured bacterium. RNAcentral describes it as "bacterial SSU rRNA". It matches the Rfam family "Bacterial small subunit ribosomal RNA", at positions 355 to 895 of the family's 1533-position model. The record is from RNAcentral.
UGGGGAAUAUUGGACAAUGGGGGCAACCCUGAUCCAGCCAUGCCGCGUGAGUGAUGAAGGCCUUCGGGUUGUAAAGCUCUUUUGGCGGGGAAGAUGAUGACGGUACCCGCAGAAUAAGCCCCGGCUAACUUCGUGCCAGCAGCCGCGGUAAGACGAAGGGGGCUAGCGUUGUUCGGAAUUACUGGGCGUAAAGCGCGUGUAGGCGGUUGUCCAAGUCGGGUGUGAAAGCCUUGAGCUCAACUCAAGAAAUGCACUCGAUACUGGGUGACUUGAGGACCGGAGAGGAUAGUGGAAUUCCCAGUGUAGUGGUGAAAUACGUAGAGAUUGGGAAGAACACCAGUGGCGAAGGCGGCUAUCUGGACGGUUUCUGACGCUAAGACGCGAAAGCGUGGGGAGCAAACAGGAUUAGAUACCCUGGUAGUCCACGCCGUAAACGAUGGGUGCUAGACGUUGGCGGGCUUGCUCGUCAGUGUCGUAGCUAACGCGUUAAGCACCCCGCCUGGGGAGUACGGCCGCAAGGUU